This 249-nucleotide unclassified non-coding RNA is filed under the name Glomeraceae sp. Its description in RNAcentral is "partial contains 5.8S ribosomal RNA and internal transcribed spacer 2". The stretch from base 1 to 65 matches the Rfam family "5.8S ribosomal RNA", at positions 84 to 154 of the family's 154-position model. Lineage: Eukaryota; Fungi; Glomeromycota; Glomeromycetes; Glomerales; Glomeraceae. The record is from RNAcentral.
GUGAAUCAUCGAAUUUUUGAACGCAAAUUGCACUUUCUUCGGUGAGUAUGCCUGUUUGAGGGUCAGCCUAAAAAAAAUCGACCUAGUAGCUGUUUUGCGGUGACAUUCGCCGGUAAUUGGGUCAUCUUAAACCUGUGGGUUUUAAUCGGUUUAAAUUUUUCUUUCCGAUUCUACGAACGUUUCUAAGAUUUACUUAUACGUUUAAGGUAUCGAUUUUGAUUAGACGUGGCUGUUAUAUCGGAUCACGUC